RNAcentral lists this ribosomal RNA (370 nucleotides) under uncultured alga. RNAcentral describes it as "partial 23S ribosomal RNA". It matches the Rfam family "Bacterial large subunit ribosomal RNA", at positions 2098 to 2465 of the family's 2925-position model. The record is from RNAcentral.
GCUUGACUGUAGCUUGUAAUUGGGUUCGGGCUUUUUUUGCGCAGCCUAGGUGGGAGGCAACGAUGAUUUUUUUCCGGAAAAAUUUGAGCCGUUAGUGAGAGACCACUCUGAAAAGGCUAGAAUCCUAAUAAUGAUCCUUGAAUCAGGACAUUUGACAGUUGCAGGUGGGCAGUUUUACUGGGGCGGUAUUCUCCUAAAAAGUAACGGAGGGGUGCAAAGGUUCCCUCAAGCUGGACGGAAAUCAGCUUAAGAGUGUAAAGGCAAAAGGGAGCUUGACUGCAAGACCUACAAGUCGAGCAGGGGCGAAAGCCGGCCUUAGUGAUCCGACGGUACCACGUGGGAAGGGCCGUCGCUCAACGGAUAAAAGUUA